GAUGAAGAACGUAGCGAAAUGCGAUAAGUAGUGUGAAUUGCAGAAUUCAGUGAAUCAUCGAAUCUUUGAACGCACAUUGCGCCCUUUGGUAUUCCUUAGGGCAUGCCUGUUCGAGCGUCAUUUAAACCUUCAAGCUAAGCUUGGUGUUGGGUGACUGUCCGCUUCACGGCGGACUCGCCUCAAAAUUAUUGGCGGCCGGUACAUUGGCUUCGAGCGCAGCAGAAACGCGAACUCGGGCCCGUCGUAUUGGCUCCCAGAAGCUAUCUUCACAAUUUUGACCUCGGAUCAGGUAGGGAUACCCGCUGAACUCAAGCAUAUCAAUAAGCGGAGGA
RNAcentral lists this unclassified non-coding RNA (332 nucleotides) under soil metagenome. Its description in RNAcentral is "partial contains 5.8S ribosomal RNA, internal transcribed spacer 2, and large subunit ribosomal RNA". The stretch from base 1 to 120 matches the Rfam family "5.8S ribosomal RNA", at positions 35 to 154 of the family's 154-position model. The record is from RNAcentral.